Molecule: long non-coding RNA, 1034 nt
Organism: Homarus americanus (American lobster)
Lineage: Eukaryota; Metazoa; Arthropoda; Malacostraca; Decapoda; Nephropidae
Exons: 4
Source: RefSeq, a predicted model, not a curated record
CUCGGGAAACGUCAUAGAGGAAAAGUCUCUUAGAAUUGUUUGAACUGUUGAUUGUAAAGAUAAAAUUCUCGAAAUUCGUGACCCUAGCAUGUGAGGAUGGUGGGCUUUUGUCAACAGUGCCUGACAGAGACGUGAUCGACCGCCCAAGCUAAUAAAGAGCAGAUCGGUGGUGAAGAGGAUAAAAGUAAAAGUUGUGUAUUAAUUCAUUAUUAAUGUACUUGUCAGAGUAGUGACCAUGAUACCUGCUGUGGGUGACAGAUACCUCAGGUUCGACUCUGGACUGACUUAACAUCUCCAGAGUUCCUAGUAAGUCUCUCAUGAUGGGGAGCAGCAGCAGCAGCCACUACUUGACCUGACGUGGAGAUCUGGCUUGUUGAGGCCUCUAGACUGUUGGGUAGGAAGCGUCAGUAGCAAUACCACAGUUGUUGUUCAUGUUGCGAGCCAUCUUGAUGUAUCCAUGUUCACCCCAGCUGGUGCCUCAUGAGUUCUUUAACGAUCCAGUAGUCCUGGCCGCCCUCCGAGCUGUAGCCGACUGUCACAUCUACAUCAUGGUCAACACUUUGGUGAGUAUAGGUUUUUAUUAUGUUGUACAGUCUGCAUAGUUGACUGGGAAUGAACAAGGACUUGGCUAUAACUUCAACACUACUUUUCUCACACUAAUAUAAGGUGAUGACAUCGCCUAGGUCACCUGUGUGAUGGGUUUGUUAUCUAACACAGUGGAAACUGUCAACUAAUACUGAACUUCUGGCCAUUCAAACUUUACAGUUUAUACAUAUACAGUACAGUAUAUGAUCUGUUAACAUUCAUGCAUACUCUGACUACACUUAUGACCAACUUAUAAUUAGAAGUGUUGCUGAAACAUAAUGUUAUUAAUGAGUGUCUUAUUGACAUUGUUGUGACAAGGGAACUUGCCUCAGUUUUGUGUGCUUUAUGAAGGUUCUACCAGCCUCUUUGUCUGUGGUUGUGUCGGCUUUACUACAGAAGAUAUAAUACUGUGAGGCAUACAGGUAAUACUCUUAACGUUGUGUUCUAAG